Molecule: non-coding RNA, 196 nt
Filed under: Paracoccaceae bacterium
Lineage: Bacteria; Pseudomonadati; Pseudomonadota; Alphaproteobacteria; Rhodobacterales; Paracoccaceae
Source: RNAcentral
GUGUAGGCAAUGCGCGUCGGUUUCCACAUGGAAUUGAAAGGGAAUCCGUCGUGGGCGCAAGCCUGCGAACCGGAACUGCCCCCGCAACUGUAGGCGGCGAGAGGUCAGCGAAACAGCCACUGUGACACUGUCAUGGGAAGGCCGCUGCCCUUGAUGACCCGCCAGUCAGGAGACCUGCCGACAGGCAACAGAAACG